AAGAAAGACAUAAAGGUUAUGCUGUUGGCUUGAAACCGACUAGAGGGGGUUCGAUUCCUUCCUUUCUUG
This 69-nucleotide transfer RNA is filed under the name Phocoena phocoena (harbor porpoise). Its description in RNAcentral is "tRNA-Ser". It matches the Rfam family "tRNA". From Rfam's summary of the family: Transfer RNA (tRNA) molecules are approximately 80 nucleotides in length. Their secondary structure includes four short double-helical elements and three loops (D, anti-codon, and T loops). Lineage: Eukaryota; Metazoa; Chordata; Mammalia; Artiodactyla; Phocoenidae. RNAcentral also lists the same sequence under 2 other names. The record is from RNAcentral.